RNAcentral lists this ribosomal RNA (463 nucleotides) under uncultured bacterium. RNAcentral's name for it is "partial 16S ribosomal RNA". It matches the Rfam family "Bacterial small subunit ribosomal RNA", at positions 28 to 507 of the family's 1533-position model. The record is from RNAcentral.
GAUGAACGCUGGCGGCGUGCUUAACACAUGCAAGUCGAACGGAAAGGCCCAAGCUUGCUUGGCUCCUCGAUUGGCGAACGGGUGAGUAACACGUGGGUGAUCUGCCCUGCACUUCGGGAUAAGCCUUGGAAACUGGGUCUAAUACCGGGUAGGACCACUUCGUAGUUGUGGUUGUGGAAAGUUUUUUCGGUGUGGGUUGGGCUCUCGGCCUAUCAGCUUGUUGGUGGGGUGAUGUCCUACCAGGGCGUCGCCGGGUACCCGGCCUGUGAGGGUGUGCGCCCACAUUGGGGCAGUGAGACGCGCCAGACUCCUCCGGGAGACAGCGCAGGGGAGUAUUGCACAAUGGGCGGGAGAGUGAUGCCGCGCCGCGGCGUGGGGGAUGACGGCCCUCGAGUUGUGAACUCCUUUCGCAAACGACGAAUUUAUGACGGUAUUUGGAGAAGAAGCCCCGGCUAACUACGUG